CUUCCUUUGUUGGUGGCCCUGCAUUUACAACAGUGCAGUGUCUCACCUUGAGCAGAGCCACCAGGUGCUUCCACAGCAUAAAUAAACAACAGUGCAGCACAGAAUGCACCGCUGUGCACUGCAAUGUGCUGUGCCAAUAACCAACAUCAGCUGGCAAAAUACCUUGAGUACUGCUUAAAAUUGUACUCUGAGCACAAGACAGAAGUUAUGACAAGGUUAUAAUCUGUUUAAACAUUAAGUUUCUGCUUUGCCUCAGCAGGUUGCUGGGAAGAGACUUUCCCAGGCUACCACUUAAUUACAAUUAAUGUAGUUACAGGGUUAAGCAAUAAACUCUCUUUUGGCUUUCAGCAGGUCAAAUUAUUCAUUAACAACCUCUGGGCAAAGCCUAGCCAGCUCAUAUGCUUAAAAGCCAAUUAGAUUUAUCCCUGGUUUUACUGAGGUUCUCUUUGGUCUUAAAAGGUUCAUCAGCAAAGGUGGAAGGAGCUGGAUCUGCAGUCAGUCUUUUGGGGUUGGACAUUUCCUUUCUUCCUUCUUCAGGGUUAAUGCAGGAUUCCUUUUUAUACAAAUCCAACCUUUUGGAUUAUUUGGUGUGGUUUGUCUCUCUGUAAUUAAGAAUCCACUGAGAAAACUGGCUUCAAACUGGCUGUUAAUAGCUUCUUAGCAAUGGCUUUCCUUCUGGUGUCCCCUGUAAUGGGAGGGUUGGGUUUUUUCACUGAAAAUCUAAGCUGUGAAACCUGCUUCUUGAUAGGAAAAACUGCACCAGGUUAUGCACUCAUGAGCUUUUUAAUCUAAAAGUUAAAACUAAGGCAGCUUUUCAUUAAAAAAAAAAUUAUUAAAAAAAAGUUGAAAAACAACAUGUUCUAGAAUUCCCCUUCUUUUGGUACUAGCGAAAUAUGGGGGGAAGUAACUGAACCCAAAUCCUUUCAGAGCCUCAUUCACAGAGGUUUUUUCUUUCCAUCUGGCUUCAGCAGGGGUAAGAGUUGCUGGCAAAGCACUCAUCCCCAGUACUCUGGAGUCUGUGCUGGGCAUGGCCCAGGGUUUCCAGGCUACCACCCAAGAGCCCAGUGCUCUCCAUCCUCUUAGAGAACUUUUUACCAUCCCUGCUAACGUGGUAUGUGCCUCAGUGGUUUUUUUUUUUCAUGGAUUUUUCUAUCUGAAUAGAAUUUCUAAAAUACACAAAGCCAUCCAGGGCUGAAAUAAUAACACUGCUGUGCUGCCAGGUGGAAACAGCCUUGGGCUUGGCAGUAUUAUCUCUUGAAGAGGAUGAAGGUAACAAUGGCUAGAUCACAUCCCAUGAUGUGACUCUGGAAAGCCAAACAGUUUUUCAAAGAAACCAAAAGUAAAAUUACAUUUUGUGGUUUUACAAGCAAACUGACAUUUCAAAGUAAUUUUAAUUUAGUAAUGUAAAGUAAAAACAGCAGCUAAUUCCCUAAAGCAAUGUAGCAACUUCAGAGUGUGGAGGUUGUUAGUGUCACAAAAAAUGCUGCUGUAAGAAACUGGACUGUGAGGAAUUGGAUGCACUCCCUGUGAGCUCAUCCUUCCCAACAGGAGCACCAGGGAUUUGGCACUGCCCUGCCUUGACUUGUGCUGCAUCACAGGGUGGGGUCCAGGAGUUGGUAAAUUCAUGGCAGUUACCAAAAGAAACACUUUGGCCCAAGCACUAGGAUAUUUAACUUUGGCAAAGCUCAUUGAAUAGUUUCUUCCACUAAUCAAGGCUGCUCAAAGACCUGUCCAGCUUGGCCUUGAACAUUUUCAACCACACCUUCUCUGUGGGGACCUGUGCCAGGGCCUCACUAUGGGAAUAAAUCACACAGGAUCCUGUUUCUCCAUGGUGGAAAAAGGCCAUUCUUUAUUCACAUCACUCCUUUUUACACAGUUUUACAGACCUCAUGUGGGACUCCAGUUGGUGAGGAGCUUUCUUGCCAGUUCCUCUACUGGUCAGUAACAAGUUAUCCUGUAUUAAUUGGUCACUCAAAACCCCAGUGCAGGAAAAGUUGUCAGAGAUAGAAAAAUGAAAACUAUCUCAAGGUUUAAAAACAGUUUAUGCAGGUGCUGGUUGUUUUCUAUCCAGGAAUAGAUUGUUAUGUUAACAAUAACUGCUCACACCAGGAUUGCUUUCACAUGGGAACUUGCAAAGGACUAGUCAAUGAUUUUAGGAGAGCAGGCUUGAUUUUAUGAAGCCUUUGUUUAUGAUUUCUCUACCUUACUGCAACACCUCACCACUCUGAAAGGGAAGAAUUUCUUCCUAUUACCCAAUUUAUCCUGCCCUCUGUCAGUUUAAAGCCAUUUUCCCAUGUCCUGUUGCUCCAUACCUGUUUGCAAAGUCCCUCCCCAGCUCCCUUCAGGUGCUGGAAGGCACUCUAAGGUCUCUCCAAAGCCUUCUCUGCUGCAGGCUGAACAACCCUGACUCUCAGCCUGUCUGCACAGCAGAGGCCAGCUCUGGUCAUCUUUGUGGACUCCUCUGGACCCUCUCCAGCAGAUCUGCAUCCUUCAGAUACUGGGGGGUCCCAGGGGUGGGUGCAGCACUGCAGGGGGGUCUCAGCAGAGCAGAGGGGCAGAAUCACUUCCCUUGAUCUGCUCCUGGUGCUGCUGCUUUUGAUGCAGCCCAGGACACAGCUGGAUUUUGAGGCUGUCAUGGUGAGCAUCUCAUCAAUCAACACCCCCAAAUCCUCCCCCUCAGGGCUGCCCUGGAUCCACUCUCUCCCCAGCCUGGAUUUGUUAAGCAAUCUUUAAAGCAUUUAGAUUUAGGUUGUUAAACUUCUGUGUUGAGAGGAUGGGAUGGAAGAGGAGCUUCUCUGCAGGUAUCUUUCCAAUAGAAAAGCUCAUCCCUGGCUCUCCUACAAGCUUUAACUUCAUCGCCUCUCAUGACAAAUGAGGCCAAAGGAUGCAGUGAAUUUCCUUCCUUCUCUCUUCUUACUGGCUUCCUUCCCAGAAUUUGGUGUUGCUCUGACUUUAAUUUGCCUCUUACUCUCUUCAACAGCACGUUUGUUCUUUUAAUAUUCUGCUUUUAAUAUUUACACCAUUUGCUGGUGUGAAUUAAAAGCCCAUUUGCAGCUGCUGUUGCAUUAAAUGGGUUUCUAGCUGGCAGUGCCUUCUGUGUGAGCUGCUCUCAGCAGUGUAACUCACAGGAGGCUGUGAUCACCUGGGGCUGCACCCUGCCAGGGGUUAGGGGGAGGCUGGAGGGGUGAAGGCUCACUUCUGGCAGGUCCACAGCAUUUAGAAAUGAUGGCUUUAAUACGACAGAGGGGAAUGCUGCUGCAGGACAGUCCAGGAGCUGACAGGUCCCAGCAGUGACAGCAGGAAAGGGUUGGUAGGGCUGGGUGCUGUGAGUGCAGACAGAAUCCCUGCUCACACAGAAGUGAACACCCCACAGAGAGGAGCCUGUGACUGCUCUGUGCUGCAGACAUUGCUGUUUCACCCAGGCUUUUGCUGUCACUGCUCAGUGUCUUUUGCUAUUUUGGCUUGUGAGCACCAUGAUGCUCAAUUCUGUCAUAGUUGAGAUGGAGACAACACAAAGCAGUACACUCUAUUUUCAGAAGGCUUCAAACUGGUUUUAAUCUAGCAUGAAUGCUUUUUAUACAUUCUUACAAAACUCAUAAGUUUACACUGUACUCAUUGGUCACAAGAGACAAACAAAAUGCUCAUUGGAAUGGGCAGCUGCAGGUUUCUCUUAUUUAUCUUUGUUUCUUUCUUGGUUUCUGUGUCAAUGACCUUAGUAGAGAAUUCUUUCAGGGGUAAACAUGGAUCCUCUUAUCAAACUUCUCUCUGGCUCACAGAAAUCACUGUAAAACCUCUUCUACACAAUUCUGGUACUUUGCAGGGACAACCAGAGACCUGAGGGGUUUGAAACCACCAGUAAUUCAGGAAGUGUGGGAAAACAAACAGGAGAUGGAACAGGGAGCACAACAGAUCAGGAUAUUCCAGCCUUGGUCAGGUACAGGCUGUGAGAUGAGCGACCACAGAUAUGAGACUGAGAAAGCACAGCUCAUGCAGACACCAGAGGUUUGAAGCUGUAGUUUUGUAAGGCUGCCAAGGAGCACAAACAAUAGGCUGGUUCUGUAACUAGUGGUUGUUACAGAUGAGUAACGAGUUGUGAGUUGGCUCUCACAAUCAAGGGGUGAUUAUAUGUGUGUUAAGAGAAGUUGUGUAGAUGUACAGUUAUGUUACUGUGAUAUGUCCUCUCCCUUGCAUUGUUAUCAUGGGAUGGCCUUGGUACUCAGGGCAUUUGGGAGGGUUGGCUUGUUACUAUGGCAACACCUGAACUCCAUCCGAGGUGUAAGAAAGAGAUCUGCACCCCAGGACAGCAAGGAAGGAGCCAAUGGCAAGACUUUAGCAGGAGCUAGGAUAAAAGGCAGAACAUCCACUUUGAGCAUGUGGCUGGUUAUCACAGGAACUCCCAGUGCUGUAAUUUCUCCUUAUUUAGUCCUUUUGUUGCAGUUUUUAUUAAAGUUUAAUAAAAUUUCAAAAAGUGAGCAGUCGUUUCUCACAGUGGUUGUGACUGCUAGAGCUGUAACAGUAUAAAACUGUGCUGUGAAAACAAUACUGGAACUUCAAUGACUUCAGCACCCUGUACCUCUAUGCUCUGGCUUCAACAAACAAAUUCAACUGUGACUUCUGCUGGGGCUUUGACUUCUUGUGCUUGGAUUACUUUCAGCCCCUCUGCCUUUCUCUGGAGUCCUGUCUCUCAGUUGCCCAACAAGGAAGGGCUUCCCUGGUUGUUGUGUUACUGGUACACAUUUACUGAGUUUAAUUCAGCAGAUCAGGGGGAGGAAAUGCACACAGGAGUGGAGGGCAGGGAAAGUCCAGGGGAGGAAGAAAAGAGGAAAAGGCUGAAGAGUAUUUUAUCGACUUACAAGAAAAUUAGAUUUUUAAUUUUUAUUAAAGUUUAAAAUCCUUAUUUUUUUGAAUUAACUGUUUUGUACCCCAGCUGAUCUACGAGCUGCCUUUUUUUGUUAAACAGAAAUAUUGCAGAGUGAGUUGAUUUCCUGCUUGCUUAUGUUCAGCUUUAAUGUAAUUGGACACUUCCAGAGCACAAUAUUACAGGUUAAUCUGAAGGUGGACAAAGGGAGAGCCCAAAAUAGUGCAGCAGCUUCUGUCAGACAGCUUUGACCUUCUGCACCAAAGACUUGAGGGCCUGAGGAAACCUUGUGCAUGAGUUAGAGGGACUUUUGGCAACACAGGUUAAAUGCACAUUAUAUUAUAUGUAAGUGAGCAAGGCUGAAGGACAAGAAAGGGAAACUCCCAACUCUUCUGUUGUGCUGUGGGGUGAGCCUGGGAGGUGGGGCAGCCUCUUCUGCAAAGGUCAGCAGCAGGCAUCUGCUUCAGACAAUGGAAUGAAGUGCUGCUGCUGCUGCUAAUUUUGGAGGGUGUGAGCAAGAAAUAGGAGGUGGAUCUAUAUAGUGCAAUAACAGCUGAAAACUAAAGAAAACUAGAGAAAACUAAAAUUAGGAGGGCUUUUCCCAGCUGGAUUUUACACUGGAUUGAGCAUAGUGGUAUUUCAGAAACACCCAAGAGACACAACUCUGACUUUUUGCACUCUUAGUUGAAAGAAGGCUCAUUUGGAAAUUGAGUGUUGCUCGUAAUGCUUGUGAUUUUGAUGUGUUGGUUUACAGAAGGGAGGCAUAUAUUAAAAGUAAUUAAGUAGCACUGGCAUUUCAAUGCUGCUCAAUUACAGCACUGGUCUCUCGAGGGUGACAGUUAUUAGACUGCAGGUGUGGCUAUAACCCACAUUUCUCUGCAGAUGACUUUUUUGGCCGUGUUUGAAAAACUGUCCUAAACCUUGCUGCCUUUGUCUUCCAUUUUUUAGCUCUUGAUUUUAUGGGAAGCAGGAGGAUAAGGGAGGAACAAGACAAAGGGAAGAAAAUAAAUGAGAAGAGUGAUGUUUGCUAUUCCAGGAAGGUAAAGAAAGAGGGCCAUUCCUGGCAGUGCCCCAGGCAGGUGCCACUCAGCCCUGACUGAUUCUCCUGGGGAGAGUUGCUUCCCUUUUAGAGCAGUCCCAGAAGACUACUUUGAGAACUUGCAUUUACAAGUGCUUUCAAGGAUGUUCCUUUAUCAGGGCUACACAUCAGAAUCUAUAUAAAUUAACACUCUCAUCAGAGCCCACGAGUAGCUACAGUUUGCCUCUUAAGACUCACCUGAGAACAUCCCUAUUUAAAUGUAAAUGCAGCCUUCCCAUGGGGCUACAGGGAUUUCUCCCACCUAAAGCACAGAAGGGAAGGGGGCAAGUGAAAGGAGCCUUUUUGCUCAUCAGAUCUGAAGGAUGAGGAUUUCUUUCUCUCCAGGCUUUCCCAGCUUCCCAGGAGAAAAAUCCUGGAUGAAGGGAUUUUUCCAAAGAAUGUGAAUGCCACAAGACAUGGGUGAAUAAAGAGACAUCAACAGAGAUGGGAACUCCAUCAUACGAGACACUAAGUGAGCAUGAGAAUGGCAGCACCUGCCCCAGGUAACAGACUGUCUAAAACAGGCAAAACAGCACUAAAAGAUGUACUAUCUCCAUUUAUAGGGCAAGGACUGUUAAAAAUGAAAAGAAGUUAAGCGUGAGCUGGCGCUGGCUUUAACCAUGUCUGCAAUCUCAAAUGCUCCUGCUCAUUUCAGCAAAGCCUUGGACCAGACUUGGAAAUAUAAAAUUAAUGAACUAUGAGGAGAACAGAGGAAAAGGAGCUUUCAUUAAGAAUGCUCAGAAAUCAACCUGAGUGCUCUCCUAAGAAAGCUGAUACACUUAAUCUCAGCAUCAAAGCAGAGUUUUGUAAGAUGGCAGGAAUUUCUAGGAAAGAGUAUUCAGACAGAUGCAAAAGGUCUUUUCAGGAGCAAGUAAAGUAUAAGUAAUUUAAGACUGUAUCUUUUGGAGCAAAAAAAUAGCCCUCCACAGGGUGUUGUGUCAGGGUGGGAGCAACCACCUGUGCUUGUGUCUUCCAAGGGGAACUCUCUUUUCAUAGAUUUUGGAAAUUAUUAUCUUAAUUUAAAAAUAAUUAAUAAUCCUGAACCUUUUCAUUAUUUACCAGUUUGACUCUCUGAUAUCCCCCCACCAGCUAAAGCCAAAAAUGGGGUGUGAUGUAAAGAAAAGCUCUGCACAUGAUUUUGUGAGAUAGGAGUGCCGUAUAUAAAUGACCAAUAACAGAGGAAAUUAAUGAAAUGUGCACAGGAGCAUAUGGGAAUGUUAGAGCUGCUGGUGAUCUGUGCAGUAUUUAUGUGUAAAACCUUGCAGUGUGUUUUCUGGAGCAGAGCUUUGCAAAAUGUGUUAUUUCAAACUUAAAGAGCUCUAUUUGUAGCCCACUGAAGCAUGUACUUGGCUUUAAGCAUAUGUUGAAGACUGUUAUCUCCUUGUCAAAACACUUUGGGCUAAACACACAGGAGAUAUAAGAGUUAAAGAAUUAACUAAAGGAAUUAUCUUUCUUAUUAAAAAAUUUAAAAUUUAAAUUAAAUUUAAAUUAAAAAUUUAAAAUGUAAAAUUUUGCAUUAAACUGUUUUUCAGGUAACUUAGAGAAGAAUCUUUCAUGUGCUUAUUCCUAAGAAUGGCAAAACAGUUUUGGCUACUACUGAAAUGAAAGUCAAAAUUGUUUAGCACCUCACAGGACAGAGCUAAGAGUAAUCAGGGGUAGUUCCACAUUCCUGGGACCUCAGACAACGAAGUAAUGUCAUCUACUUAGUGACCUGAUAUACUUAAUAAAUAUAGUUGUCCCUCAGAAAAUUUAUUGCAUAUGUUUAACCUGAGAACAAUCAGAACUAUUUUAUUAGUAAAUUGAAAACAGGAAUUCGUUGCAUUUUCAAAACUGAGAGAACUUUUCUUUUUGAGUACAUAGAUUUUUUUCUAGAGGAUUUGUAUUAUGUGGUCUGUCUUAAGAUCCUGUGCUAUCAAAGAGGAAUUCCCAGUCCUGGCUUUAGACUUGAGGCCCUCUAGACAGUGAAGUUGCUGGUGGCACAAAAACAAGAGAGGACUUGAUAAAGGGAGGUGUAGAAACAGUUGAGUAAUUGACAUUUUCCUCCAGGAACUGAAGCAGCUCCUCCAAUAGAAAAAGGCUCCUGUCUUUUCCUGGAAUUAUUUCCUUAUGCCCUUACUUGUCAACCUAGAAUGGUGGAAAAAAAUAGGUCAGGGCUUGUUUUCAUUGGUGACUAGUAACAGCACUGGA
Long non-coding RNA from Passer domesticus (house sparrow), 8123 nucleotides. RefSeq lists it as uncharacterized. The transcript has 4 exons. The record is from RefSeq and is a predicted model, not a curated record. Lineage: Eukaryota; Metazoa; Chordata; Aves; Passeriformes; Passeridae.